This is a long non-coding RNA of Homo sapiens (human), 1356 nucleotides long. Ensembl annotates it as long intergenic non-protein coding RNA 2866. Lineage: Eukaryota; Metazoa; Chordata; Mammalia; Primates; Hominidae. The record is from Ensembl.
AUCUAUAUUACUUAUUUACUUCUGUGUGUUGAGCCCAAAUCUGCCAACAUGUGACUUCCAUCCUUUGAUCUCAUUUUCUGGGAGCAACACAAAAAAAAUGUGGCUUCCUUGAAAGUUCUUCAUGUAUUUAAAGAUCACUCUCAAGCCUGCAGUCAACCUGGAGUAGGCAGAUGAAGCAGCUGGGGAAAAGACCUCUUGACCUACCAACAAACAGUCACUGACACUGUCAAGUUCAGAGGUGGUGAGAGACACAGAUUGCAGGUAUCUUUGUAAGUUCCAAUUCGUCCCCCACACCAGGUUCAGCUUGUCUUUACUCUCCCCUGAGUCACUUCGAGUUUGGUUCUACUGAUCUACAGGAAGCUUCUUCCCACCACUGAAUUCAAGGGACAGUCUUCCCAUAUGUCUUUACCAGCUCUCGCAAAUGAAGACAGAGCCUGUCUAUGUCAUUCAGACUGGCCUCAAACUCCAGGGCUCAACAAAGCCUCCUGCCUCAACUUCCCCAGUAGCUGGGACUACAGGUUUUAUCAUCUGAAAGAUUCCAGAGAAGCCCAGUGAUCCUGAAGGGUACUGGCAGCCACAGUAUCUGAAAUGCUGUGUCUGAGGACCAUCUUCCCCUGACAUUGCAGAAUACCUAGGACAGAGCAACUGUUUCCAGGCCUACUCUUAUCACAGUCUCCUUGGGGACUUUUAAAAAUCCAGGCCUUUGGACUUAAUGAUUCAGAGUUUCUGGGGCUGGACACCUGCUAGCUCCGUGCUUCAGUCACUCCCCAGCAAAUAUCUUCCACUGAGAUCGUGUGGUUUUAAUCAUACAAGGAGAGUGGCAGAAGAACAGAAAGAUUGAAACCAAGGACAGAGAACACCUGAAAUUGGAAUGGCUUCAAAUGUUCAGUGGAAGUGAACAAGUUCUUGUAUUGUUUUCUCCUAUUCUCCUUCCAGCUUCAGGGUCAUAUGUCACAGCGCUGGGCAUUUCAUUUGGGUAUCUAUCAUCAUUCCCAUUCUGCAAUGAGGAAAUGCUGUCAGAGUGAUUAAGUAAUUUGCCCAUGGUCUCACAUAGAAGCCUGUCUUCUCCAGGGAACACAGCACUCAGAAUCGUCUCGGCCCCUGCAUAAGCCUGCAUGAGCCUGGGCUCUGGGGACCCAUCCUGGUGCAUCAUUCGUUGGCUCUGUGACAAUGGGCACAUCGUUUAACCUCUCUUGGCUUCAUUCUCCUUACUGGAAUGAUGGAGAGAGUUUUGCCUAUUUCAGAGGCUUGCUCUUCUAUACGUGAGCCUAUAAGUAACUUGUCUUAAGAAUUUCCACUCCUUCUGUACUCUGAUUUAAAUUUGAAGGCAUCAAAACAAAAACAAUCAAGAUUUCA